AGUGAACGCUGGCGGUAGGCCUAACACAUGCAAGUCGAACGGCAGCACAGUAAGAGCUUGCUCUUACGGGUGGCGAGUGGCGGACGGGUGAGGAAUACAUCGGAAUCUACUUUUUCGUGGGGGAUAACGUAGGGAGACUUACUCUAAUACCGCAUACGACCUACGGGGGAAAGCAGGGGAUCUUCUGACCUUGCGCGAUUGAAUGAGCCGAUGUCGGAUUAGCUAGUUGGCGGGGUAAAGGCCCACCAAGGCGACGAUCCGUAGCUGGUCUGAGAGGAUGAUCAGCCACACUGGAACGGAGACACGGUCCAGACUCCUACGGGAGGAAGCAGUGGGGAAUAUUGGACAAUGGGCGCAAGCCUGAUCCAGCCAUACCGCGUGGGUGACGAAGGCCUUCCGGUUGUAAAGCCCUUUUGUUGGGAAAGAAAAGCAGCAGGUUAAUACCCCGCUGUUCUGACGGUACCCAAAGAAUAAGCACCGGCUAACUUCGUG
This 492-nucleotide ribosomal RNA is filed under the name uncultured bacterium. Its description in RNAcentral is "partial 16S ribosomal RNA". It matches the Rfam family "Bacterial small subunit ribosomal RNA", at positions 29 to 507 of the family's 1533-position model. The record is from RNAcentral.